AACCUGGUUGAUCUUGCCAGUAGUCAUAUGCUUGUCUCAAAGAUUAAGCCAUGCAAGUGAAAGUAUAUGCAUAUUUAAUAUGUAGAAACUGCGAACGGCUCAUUAAAACAGUUAUAAUCUACUUGACAUUUUAUUAUAAGGAUACCUACGGAAAAGCUGUAGCUAAUACUUGUAAAAGUACAUUACUCCUCGGAGUAAAGUACGUAUUUGUUAAGACCCCCAAGAAAAAAUGAUAUUAAAGGAAUUAUAACAAAGAAGUUACACCA
Molecule: ribosomal RNA, 266 nt
Filed under: Plasmodium chabaudi chabaudi
Lineage: Eukaryota; Apicomplexa; Aconoidasida; Haemosporida; Plasmodiidae
Rfam family: Eukaryotic small subunit ribosomal RNA
Source: RNAcentral